GACGAACGCUGGCGGCGUGCCUAACACAUGCAAGUCGAGCGAAAGGACGAGGAGUUUGCUUCUCUGAUGUUAGCGGAGGACGGGAGAGUAACAUGUGGAUAACAUACCUAUAAGAAUGGGAUAAUUAUGGGAAAUCGGAGCUUAUACCGGAUAAUAUUUUGCAUCGUAUGGUGCAAAAGUGAGAGUCGGUGUUGGUGUGUGUUAUAGCUGGAUCCGCGCUGGAUUAGCUAGUUGGUAAGGUAAAGGCUUACCAAGGCAAGGAUGCAUAGACGACCGCAGAGAGUGGUCGGCCACACUGGAGCUGAGACACAGUCCAGACUCCUGCGAUAAGCAACAGUAGGGAAUCUUCCGCAAUGGUCGAGAGCCUGACAGAGCAACGCGGCGUAAGUGAUGAAGGUCUUCGGAUCGUAAAACUCUGUUAUUAGGGGAGAACAUAUGUGUAAGUAACUGUGCACAUCUUGACGGUACCUGGUCAAAAAGCCACGGCUAACUACGUG
RNAcentral lists this ribosomal RNA (497 nucleotides) under uncultured bacterium. RNAcentral's name for it is "partial 16S ribosomal RNA". It matches the Rfam family "Bacterial small subunit ribosomal RNA", at positions 28 to 507 of the family's 1533-position model. The record is from RNAcentral.